This 457-nucleotide long non-coding RNA is filed under the name Medicago truncatula (barrel medic). RNAcentral describes it as "lncRNA gene19502". The record is from RNAcentral. Lineage: Eukaryota; Viridiplantae; Streptophyta; Magnoliopsida; Fabales; Fabaceae.
AAACGAUUAUUAUUGUAAAAGAUGAAUCAAAACAAAUGGGCAAAACGUAAAUUAACCAAAACAAUAAUGGCAAAAAACAAGUUUCAUUCUCAGUAAUUCUUACCCACAUGAAUUUUUUUAGGUGCUAAACUUAAAAAAUGUAUAUUAAACAGCAGAAGAUAGUGGUGGCUCCCGUGGUGAUUUCUCUUUUCGUGGCUCCCGUGGUUGCUGCCGUCUGGCUCUUUUGUUGAGUUAGUGGUGGCUUCAUGGGGUUUUGAACGUCCUUUGGACGGUUCUUCAGAUGUAUCUUGUACAAUAUAUAUAUAUAUAUAUACACCAUUAAAAAUAAAAAACAGCAGAAGAUAGUACAACAAUGAUUCUAUUUUUUUUUUUUUGACAAAAACAUUGAUUCUAUAUAGAAAGUAAUUUUAAUGUUUUUUUUUCUAAAUUCUUUUGUUUCGUAAAAAAAGGCAAUAAC